UACGGAGGAUCCAAGCGUUAUCCGGAUUCAUUGGGUUUAAAGAGUGCGUAGGCGGAAUGAUAAGUCAGUGGUGAAAUCCUGCAGCUUAACUGCAGAACUGCCAUUUGAUACUGUCAAUCUUGAGUAUAUUUGAUGUGGGCGGAAUGUGUCAUGUAGCGGUGAAAUGCUUAGAUAUGACACAGAACACCGAUUGCGAAGGCAGCUCACAAAAACUAUAACUGACGCUGAGGCACG
Molecule: ribosomal RNA, 234 nt
Filed under: uncultured bacterium
Lineage: Bacteria
Description: partial 16S ribosomal RNA
Rfam family: Bacterial small subunit ribosomal RNA
Source: RNAcentral